RNAcentral lists this unclassified non-coding RNA (330 nucleotides) under soil metagenome. Its description in RNAcentral is "partial contains 5.8S ribosomal RNA, internal transcribed spacer 2, and large subunit ribosomal RNA". The stretch from base 1 to 120 matches the Rfam family "5.8S ribosomal RNA", at positions 35 to 154 of the family's 154-position model. The record is from RNAcentral.
GAUGAAGAACGUGGCGAAAUGCGAUAAGUAAUGUGAAUUGCAGAAUUCAGUGAAUCAUCGAAUCUUUGAACGCACAUUGCGCCCCUUGGUAUUCCGAGGGGCAUGCCUAUUCGAGCGUCAUUAUCACCCCUCAAGCCUAGCUUGGUGUUGAGGCCUGCUGUCAAGGCAGCCUCUAAAAUCAGUGGCAGUGCUGUCAGGCUCUAAGCGUAGUAAAUCUAAUCGCUAUAGACACCUGGUGGACACUCGCCAGAACCCCCCCCAUUUUUUAAUGAUUGACCUCGGAUUAGGUAGGGAUACCCGCUGAACUUAAGCAUAUCAAUAAGCGGAGGA